GGCCAAGUUAUUAAGGGCGCACGGUGGAUGCCUAGGCAUCAGGAGCCGAUGAAGGACGUGGGAGGCUGCGAUAAGCCUCGGGGAGCUGUCAACCGAGCUGAGAUCCGAGGAUGUCCGAAUGGGGAAACCCGGCAGCAGUCAUGUGCUGUCACCCACAUCUGAACACAUAGGGUGUGUGGAGGGAACGCGGGGAAGUGAAACAUCUCAGUACCCGCAGGAGAAGAAAACAACAGUGAUUCCGUGAGUAGUGGCGAGCGAAAGCGGAUGAGGCUAAACCAUAUCAGUGUGAUAGCUGGCAGGCGUUGCUGGUAUGGGGUUGUGGGACCCGCCGGCCGGGGCUGUCGACCCGGCAGGGAGUGAGAAAGUGGCGUGGUUAGCGGAAGGCGUCUGGAAAGCGUCAGCGUAGAGGGUGAUACUCCCGUACGCGAAAACCUGUCACCUCCCGGUGGGGAUCCCAAGUAGCAGCGAGCCCGUGAAAUUCGCUGUGAAUCUGGCGGGACCACCCGCUAAGCCUAAAUACUCCCUGAUGACCGAUAGCGGACUAGUACCGUGAGGGAAAGGUGAAAAGUACCCCGGGAGGGGAGUGAAAUAGUACCUGAAACCGUGUGCCUACAAGCCGUCGGAGCCUUAUGGGGUGACGGCGUGCCUUUUGAAGAAUGAGCCUGCGAGUUAGUGGUGCGUGGCGAGGUUAACCCGGGUGGGGUAGCCGUAGCGAAAGCGAGUCCGAAUAGGGCGAUCAUAGUCGCGUGCUCUAGACCCGAAGCGGAGUGAUCUACCCAUGGCCAGGGUGAAGCGCGGGUAAGACCGCGUGGAGGCCCGAACCCACCAGGGUUGAAAACCUGGGGGAUGAGCUGUGGGUAGGGGUGAAAGGCCAAUCAAACUCCGUGAUAGCUGGUUCUCCCCGAAAUGCAUUUAGGUGCAGCGUCGUGUGCUUCUCGUCGGAGGUAGAGCACUGGAUGGUCUAGGGGGCCGACAAGCCUACCAAAAUCAGCCAAACUCCGAAUGCCGGCGAGCCAGGAGCACGGCAGUGAGACUGCGGGGGAUAAGCUUCGUAGUCGAAAGGGAAACAGCCCAGACCACCGGCUAAGGUCCCGAAGCGUGUGCUAAGUGGGAAAGGAUGUGGGGUCGCACAGACAACCAGGAGGUUGGCUUGGAGGCAGCCAUCCUUGAAAGAGUGCGUAAUAGCUCACUGGUCAAGUGAUCCCGCGCCGACAAUGUAGCGGGGCUCAAGCACACCACCGAAGCCGUGGCGUUCACAUAAGAUCCGCACCCUCUUUUGGGAGGGUGUGCAGUCGUGUGGACGGGUAGGGGAGCGUCGUGCGGCGAGUGAAGCGGCGGGGUAACCCAGCCGUGGACGCCGCAGGAGUGAGAAUGCAGGCAUGAGUAGCGAAAGGGGAGUGAGAAACUCCCCCGCCGAAUGACCAAGGGUUCCUGGGCCAGGCUAAUCCGCCCAGGGUAAGUCGGGACCUAAGGCGAGGCCGACAGGCGUAGUCGAUGGACAACGGGUUGAUAUUCCCGUACCCGCAUGAGCGCGUCCCUGGCGAGGUCGGUGAUGCUGACCGCCCGAACCGCUGUCAGUCCUUUCGGGGACUGGUGGUGGCAAGCGCGGGACCCAAACCGAUAGUAGCCAAGCGAUGGGGUGACGCAGGAGGGCAGCCCCGCCAGUGAGUGGUAGAACUGGUGUAAGGGUGUAGCCAGCCGCCGCAGGCAAAUCCGUGGCGGCGUUAAUGGUGAGACCUGACGCAUAGCCGAAUGAGGCGAAGCAGGGUGAUCCCAUGCUGCCGAGAAAAGCCUCUAGCGAGUUCUCAUGCGGCCCGUACCCCAAACCGACACAGGUGGUCAGGUAGAGAAUACCAAGGCGAUCGAGCAAA
RNAcentral lists this ribosomal RNA (1871 nucleotides) under Actinomycetota bacterium. RNAcentral describes it as "partial 23S ribosomal RNA". It matches the Rfam family "Bacterial large subunit ribosomal RNA", at positions 1 to 1698 of the family's 2925-position model. The record is from RNAcentral. Lineage: Bacteria; Bacillati; Actinomycetota.